CACUGUUCUAGCCCAUAUUCUCAUAUCACUGUAGCUUUAGACUACUUUGAAACCAUUUACUGCCACCUAUCGGCAAUGUGGUGCAUUACAGGCUAUAAUUCAUAUUCGUUAAAAUAACAUGGGUUACAAGAAUAUCACUAAGCACACAACAAACAAAUGUGACUUUACCUUGAAUAAUUGCUUCAUGUUACUUUUACAUCAUUUAUGUUGUUUGGGGGUUCUGUUUAUUCCAGAGUUGGGGAGCAGAGUAUAGCUGAAAGACCUGAGUUCUA
Poecilia latipinna (sailfin molly) is the source of this 272-nucleotide long non-coding RNA. RefSeq lists it as uncharacterized. NCBI's taxonomy places the organism in Eukaryota, Metazoa, Chordata, Actinopteri, Cyprinodontiformes, Poeciliidae. The record is from RefSeq and is a predicted model, not a curated record. The transcript is spliced from 3 exons.